AUUGAACGCUGGCGGCAUGCCUUACACAUGCAAGUCGAACGGCAGCACGGGUGCUUGCACCUGGUGGCGAGUGGCGAACGGGUGAGUAAUACAUCGGAGCAUGUCCUGUAGUGGGGGAUAGCCCGGCGAAAGCCGGAUUAAUACCGCAUACGAUCUACGGAUGAAAGCGGGGGACCUUCGGGCCUCGCGCUAUAGGGUUGGCCGAUGGCUGAUUAGCUAGUUGGUGGGGUAAAGGCCUACCAAGGCGACGAUCAGUAGCUGGUCUGAGAGGACGACCAGCCACACUGGGACUGAGACACGGCCCAGACUCCUACGGGAGGCAGCAGUGGGGAAUUUUGGACAAUGGGCGAAAGCCUGAUCCAGCAAUGCCGCGUGUGUGAAGAAGGCCUUCGGGUUGUAAAGCACUUUUGUCCGGAAAGAAAUCCUUGGCCCUAAUACGGUCGGGGGAUGACGGUACCGGAAAAAUAAGCACCGGCUAACUACGUG
This 486-nucleotide ribosomal RNA is filed under the name uncultured bacterium. Its description in RNAcentral is "partial 16S ribosomal RNA". It matches the Rfam family "Bacterial small subunit ribosomal RNA", at positions 30 to 507 of the family's 1533-position model. The record is from RNAcentral.